GGUUAAGCGACUAAGCGUACACGGUGGAUGCCCUGGCAGUCAGAGGCGAUGAAGGACGUGCUAAUCUGCGAUAAGCGUCGGUAAGGUGAUAUGAACCGUUAUAACCGGCGAUUUCCGAAUGGGGAAACCCAGUGUGUUUCGACACACUAUCAUUAACUGAAUCCAUAGGUUAAUGAGGCGAACCGGGGGAACUGAAACAUCUAAGUACCCCGAGGAAAAGAAAUCAACCGAGAUUCCCCCAGUAGCGGCGAGCGAACGGGGAGCAGCCCAGAGCCUGAAUCAGUGUGUGUGUUAGUGGAAGCGUCUGGAAAGGCGCGCGAUACAGGGUGACAGCCCCGUACACAAAAAUGCACAUGCUGUGAGCUCGAUGAGUAGGGCGGGACACGUGGUAUCCUGUCUGAAUAUGGGGGGACCAUCCUCCAAGGCUAAAUACUCCUGACUGACCGAUAGUGAACCAGUACCGUGAGGGAAAGGCGAAAAGAACCCCGGCGAGGGGAGUGAAAAAGAACCUGAAACCGUGUACGUACAAGCAGUGGGAGCACGCUUCGGCGUGUGACUGCGUACCUUUUGUAUAAUGGGUCAGCGACUUAUAUUCUGUAGCAAGGUUAACCGAAUAGGGGAGCCGAAGGGAAACCGAGUCUUAACUGGGCGUUAAGUUGCAGGGUAUAGACCCGAAACCCGGUGAUCUAGCCAUGGGCAGGUUGAAGGUUGGGUAACACUAACUGGAGGACCGAACCGACUAAUGUUGAAAAAUUAGCGGAUGACUUGUGGCUGGGGGUGAAAGGCCAAUCAAACCGGGAGAUAGCUGGUUCUCCCCGAAAGCUAUUUAGGUAGCGCCUCGUGAAUUCAUCUCCGGGGGUAGAGCACUGUUUCGGCAAGGGGGUCAUCCCGACUUACCAACCCGAUGCAAACUGCGAAUACCGGAGAAUGUUAUCACGGGAGACACACGGCGGGUGCUAACGUCCGUCGUGAAGAGGGAAACAACCCAGACCGCCAGCUAAGGUCCCAAAGUCAUGGUUAAGUGGGAAACGAUGUGGGAAGGCCCAGACAGCCAGGAUGUUGGCUUAGAAGCAGCCAUCAUUUAAAGAAAGCGUAAUAGCUCACUGGUCGAGUCGGCCUGCGCGGAAGAUGUAACGGGGCUAAACCAUGCACCGAAGCUGCGGCAGCGACGCUGAUGCGUUGUUGGGUAGGGGAGCGUUCUGUAAGCCUGCGAAGGUGUGCUGUGAGGCAUGCUGGAGGUAUCAGAAGUGCGAAUGCUGACAUAAGUAACGAUAAAGCGGGUGAAAAGCCCGCUCGCCGGAAGACCAAGGGUUCCUGUCCAACGUUAAUCGGGGCAGGGUGAGUCGACCCCUAAGGCGAGGCCGAAAGGCGUAGUCGAUGGGAAACAGGUUAAUAUUCCUGUACUUGGUGUUACUGCGAAGGGGGGACGGAGAAGGCUAUGUUGGCCGGGCGACGGUUGUCCCGGUUUAAGCGUGUAGGCUGGUUUUCCAGGCAAAUCCGGAAAAUCAAGGCUGAGGCGUGAUGACGAGGCACUACGGUGCUGAAGCAACAAAUGCCCUGCUUCCAGGAAAAGCCUCUAAGCAUCAGGUAACAUCAAAUCGUACCCCAAACCGACACAGGUGGUCAGGUAGAGAAUACCAAGGCGCUUGAGAGAACUCGGGUGAAGGAACUAGGCAAAAUGGUGCCGUAACUUCGGGAGAAGGCACGCUGAUAUGUAGGUGAAGUCCCUUGCGGAUGGAGCUGAAAUCAGUCGAAGAUACCAGCUGGCUGCAACUGUUUAUUAAAAACACAGCACUGUGCAAACACGAAAGUGGACGUAUACGGUGUGACGCCUGCCCGGUGCCGGAAGGUUAAUUGAUGGGGUCAGCGCAAGCGAAGCUCUUGAUCGAAGCCCCGGUAAACGGCGGCCGUAACUAUAACGGUCCUAAGGUAGCGAAAUUCCUUGUCGGGUAAGUUCCGACCUGCACGAAUGGCGUAAUGAUGGCCAGGCUGUCUCCACCCGAGACUCAGUGAAAUUGAACUCGCUGUGAAGAUGCAGUGUACCCGCGGCAAGACGGAAAGACCCCGUGAACCUUUACUAUAGCUUGACACUGAACAUUGAGCCUUGAUGUGUAGGAUAGGUGGGAGGCUUUGAAGUGUGGACGCCAGUCUGCAUGGAGCCGACCUUGAAAUACCACCCUUUAAUGUUUGAUGUUCUAACGUUGACCCGUAAUCCGGGUUGCGGACAGUGUCUGGUGGGUAGUUUGACUGGGGCGGUCUCCUCCUAAAGAGUAACGGAGGAGCACGAAGGUUGGCUAAUCCUGGUCGGACAUCAGGAGGUUAGUGCAAUGGCAUAAGCCAGCUUGACUGCGAGCGUGACGGCGCGAGCAGGUGCGAAAGCAGGUCAUAGUGAUCCGGUGGUUCUGAAUGGAAGGGCCAUCGCUCAACGGAUAAAAGGUACUCCGGGGAUAACAGGCUGAUACCGCCCAAGAGUUCAUAUCGACGGCGGUGUUUGGCACCUCGAUGUCGGCUCAUCACAUCCUGGGGCUGAAGUAGGUCCCAAGGGUAUGGCUGUUCGCCAUUUAAAGUGGUACGCGAGCUGGGUUUAGAACGUCGUGAGACAGUUCGGUCCCUAUCUGCCGUGGGCGCUGGAGAACUGAGGGGGGCUGCUCCUAGUACGAGAGGACCGGAGUGGACGCAUCACUGGUGUUCGGGUUGUCAUGCCAAUGGCACUGCCCGGUAGCUAAAUGCGGAAGAGAUAAGUGCUGAAAGCAUCUAAGCACGAAACUUGCCCCGAGAUGAGUUCUCCCUGACCCUUUAAGGGUCCUGAAGGAACGUUGAAGACGACGACGUUGAUAGGCCGGGUGUGUAAGCGCAGCGAUGCGUUGAGCUAACCGGUACUAAUGAACCGUGAGGCUUAACCUU
This 2904-nucleotide ribosomal RNA is filed under the name Escherichia coli. RNAcentral's name for it is "23S ribosomal RNA". It matches the Rfam family "Bacterial large subunit ribosomal RNA". The record is from RNAcentral. Lineage: Bacteria; Pseudomonadati; Pseudomonadota; Gammaproteobacteria; Enterobacterales; Enterobacteriaceae.